RNAcentral lists this transfer RNA (74 nucleotides) under Spirochaetales bacterium. Its description in RNAcentral is "tRNA-Pro". It matches the Rfam family "tRNA". Rfam says of the family: Transfer RNA (tRNA) molecules are approximately 80 nucleotides in length. Their secondary structure includes four short double-helical elements and three loops (D, anti-codon, and T loops). Further hydrogen bonds mediate the characteristic L-shaped molecular structure. tRNAs have two regions of fundamental functional importance: the anti-codon, which is responsible for specific mRNA codon recognition, and the 3' end, to which the tRNAs corresponding amino acid is attached (by aminoacyl-tRNA synthetases). tRNAs cope with the degeneracy of the genetic code in two manners: having more than one tRNA (with a specific anti-codon) for a particular amino acid; and 'wobble' base-pairing, i.e. permitting non-standard base-pairing at the 3rd anti-codon position. Lineage: Bacteria; Pseudomonadati; Spirochaetota; Spirochaetia; Spirochaetales. The record is from RNAcentral.
CGGGAUGUGGCGCAGUGGUUUAGCGUACGCGUCUGGGGGGCGUGUGGUCGGUGGUUCAAAUCCACUCAUCCCGA